UUAAGUAAAGACCUCCUAACUUUAUUUAAUAGAAAUCCUAAACUUUUCUUUUUUUCAUAAUAAUCUCCCUAAAGAAGCCACCAAAUCAGGUGGCUUUUUU
This 100-nucleotide small RNA is filed under the name uncultured Streptococcus sp. RNAcentral's name for it is "Cia-dependent small RNA csRNA1". It matches the Rfam family "Cia-dependent small RNA csRNA1". Lineage: Bacteria; Bacillati; Bacillota; Bacilli; Lactobacillales; Streptococcaceae. The record is from RNAcentral.